Tachysurus vachellii is the source of this 825-nucleotide long non-coding RNA. RefSeq lists it as uncharacterized. The transcript has 3 exons. Lineage: Eukaryota; Metazoa; Chordata; Actinopteri; Siluriformes; Bagridae. The record is from RefSeq and is a predicted model, not a curated record.
GACCAUAUAAAGAAAAACAGCACAAGAAAGAGGUGCCUCAGUCAGCAAAUCUCCUAAAGUUGGUGGUGUUCCAGGUCGUGUUCGUCAGCCCUUCACCUGAGACACAGAGAUGAGAAUGUGGAAGCAUCUAUUGCUGUUUUGAGACACUCUGCUGAUGAAAAGACUGUCCGUGAGAAGAUGAAAAUGACCUUCAUAUAUCGGCAAGAAAUUGUCAACGAUGAAGCCAAAUCAUCAGAUGUCUUCUUUGUCUUCCCACGAUUUCUUUACACACCAGGACUGUUAUGACAUGUUAAUUCACUGCAUCACCAAAAUAUCCAAUGUAGCAUUAGGUAUCACUUAUCACUUCUGUGUGUUACAUUGCAGAUAGAACAAGAUUUCAGAUUUCUGUUUGGUGAGGCCAAACAAAUUCUUGGAGAAGUGGCCAACCACCUUUAAAGCAAAAGUAAUAAAGGAAAGCCAUGGACUUGUACCCACCACAGAACUCUUGGAUUUGAUGCGCAAUGCUGAGUCAGCUGCUGAAGUUGAGAAUGGCUGGGACAGUGACAUGUCUGCCAACUUGCUGCUGCUACAUCUGCUACCACUAACUGCACAAGAUAGAAAGAGGCCGGGAAAGCUUUCUGUGUAUCAAGCUGUAGAUCCGCUCAUCAGAUUUCAAAAGUUAUGCUUAAAGGGUUAGAUCACUUAUAAUUUAUUUUUUUGCUGAUUAUUAACUAACCCCCAUAUCAUCCAAGAUUCAUGUCUUUCUUUCUUCAGUCAAAAAUAAAUUAAGGUUUUUCUAGAAAACAUUCCAGGAUUUUUCUCCAUAUAAUGGACUUCAAUUAUAUG